UGGGGGAUAUUGCACAAUGGGCGAAAGCCUGAUGCAGCGACGCCGCGCGGGGGAUGAAGGCCUUCGGGUUGUAAACUUCUUUUGCUCUGAACAAGGCAUGCUUUUGGGGUGUGUUGAGUGUAGGGGUUGAUUAGCGCCGGCUAACUACGUGCCAGCAGCCGCGGUAAUACGUAGGGCGCGAGCGUUGUCCGGAAUUAUUGGGCGUAAAGGGCUUGUAGGUGGCUGGUUGCGUCUGUCGUGAAAGCUCAUGGCUUAACUGUGGGUUUGCGGUGGGUACGGGCUGGAUUGAGUGCAGUAGGGGAGGCUGGAAUUCCUGGUGUAGCGGUGGAAUGCGCAGAUAUCAGGAGGAAUACCGGGGGCGAAGGCGGGUCUCUGGGCUGUUACUGACGCUGAGGAGCGAGAGCGUGGGGAGCGAACAGG
RNAcentral lists this ribosomal RNA (420 nucleotides) under Fusobacteriota bacterium. RNAcentral describes it as "Fusobacteria bacterium partial 16S ribosomal RNA". It matches the Rfam family "Bacterial small subunit ribosomal RNA", at positions 355 to 776 of the family's 1533-position model. Lineage: Bacteria; Fusobacteriati; Fusobacteriota. The record is from RNAcentral.